RNAcentral lists this ribosomal RNA (468 nucleotides) under uncultured bacterium. Its description in RNAcentral is "partial 16S ribosomal RNA". It matches the Rfam family "Bacterial small subunit ribosomal RNA", at positions 38 to 507 of the family's 1533-position model. The record is from RNAcentral.
GAAGAAAGAGGGAGGGGGGAGGAAAAAAGGAAAGUAGAACGGAAAGGAACUGCUUUUGUGGGGUGUUAGAGUGGCGAACGGGUGAGUAACAAGUGAGUAAAAUGCAUUUGACUUUGGGAUAACUUCAGGAAACUGGGGCUAAUACCGGAUAGGAGCUCCUGCUGCAUGGUGGGGGUUGGAAAGUUUCGGCGGUUGGGGAUGGACUCGCGGCUUAUCAGCUUGUUGGUGGGGUAGUGGCUUACCAAGGCUUUGACGGGUAGCCGGCCUGAGAGGGUGACCGGCCACAUUGGGACUGAGAUACGGCCCAGACUCCUACGGGAGGCAGCAGUGGGGAAUAUUGCACAAUGGGCGGAAGCCUGAUGCAGCAACGCCGCGUGCGGGAUGACGGCCUUCGGGUUGUAAACCGCUUUCGCCUGUGACGAAGCGUGAGUGACGGUAAUGGGUAAAGAAGCACCGGCUAACUACGUC